UUCAAGAUUUUUUUUAGGGUACACUGCAUUUGCCAAAAUGAAAAACAAUAUUUAGAAACAACCACAAAAAAAAUCUAUCAACAAAUGAACAAAUAUAUACAGUAAAUAGAGAUUAAACAGCACUAACAUUUACUAAGAGACUACAUACAAAUUUUAACAGUCUGCAUGCAUUUUUGACACAUUUAUUUUUUAAGGCUACCAUUUACAUGUUAUCAGAAUCUAAAUUCAGAAUAUAUAACUUACCUUUUCAGUCUUGAAUGGAAAAAAGAGAUGAGAAAUGGCCUUAGUAGGCUUUGUUGUAUGUGGUCCCUUGUAGGCAAUGUAGGAAUCUCAAAAAGCAGUUUGUCCUUUAAGGUUUUGGAAUUUUAUUUCACAAAAAAACUAAAAAAGUCAAUGUAGAUUCUGUCAGGAAAACAGUAUAUAUACAACCCAACCCAGAUAUCUGGAGCGUGAUUGGAUGAGACUCAGUUAGUCUGGAUACUGUUGGUACUUUUUGCUGUGAAGGGCAGGUGAUAAUGUGGAGACAUUAGUGUUAUUAGCAUAUAAGAAGAGAGAACAAUCAGUUUACCAGACGCUGCUGGGGGAAUCGGGGGAUGUGGGGAUUCUUUAAAACAAGUCACUUUGACUGGGAUUGGUUUGCUUUAAGAUUAUGUAGUUUGAAAAAUAAUCAGGGAAUUUUUUAUUUUUUAUUACACUCAAGGGCAUUUAGUGCUAGAAAGAUUAUAAAAGUAUUAAAAACUAUUUGUGUUGUAUUCAAAGUCUUCUGAAGUCAUACAAUAAGUUUGUGAAAAGUUUCAACAUUGAGGUAUUAAUAACUGAAAAUGAUUCCACUCCAUAAACACCGUCAUCAUAAAAUACAGCUGAAUUUGAGUUUGAGAUAAAAGACAUCAAAACUGAUGUAAUAAAUGUCCCUGUCCACAGCGUUUGUCUGUUGAUGCAAAGGUAUCUCAAUGAAACCAGUGAAAUACCCUGCACAUGGAAAAACUGCACUAAAUGGACAAACUAAAUAUUUACGCCAAGGGCUCCUGACCAAGAGUCAAGGAUUGAGAAAGUGUAAAAAAAUGGUCCCCAAUGAGACUGUGAAUUGUGACGCCUGUUUGGUUGCCUUUACAUUUAUCAAUAUUUCAUAUUCUGUUUAUCUAUGAAACAACAAUGUUGAUAAUAACACUAAAACAGCCAUUCUUGCCAUCAGAAAUAGUUAAACUUAAGUAAAAACAUAAGACAUAGAGUGACUCGUCAGGUCGAGAUGCAAUGCAUAAGAGAAUGGCCAGCAUGCUGAUGACUGGUCAUACAGAAGCUGAUCAUACAGAUGACCGGUCAUACAGACCGCAUCAUACAGACAGUGAUCACAUCCUGAUGUAACCCAUCGCUCUCCAGCUGGAGGAAGUGCUGCUUUAUAAUCACAGAACAUUCAGUCACUAUUAAAAUGAUUCUGGCUGCUAGAAAGGAGAACAUAUCCUACAACAUGAGUAAGUUCUACAUUUUCUAAUCACUUAUUCUACAAAUGUUGCAACUAUGUUUAAGCAUGUUUAACAAAACUGUCUUUACUUUUUUCUUUUAAGAAAAGUCAAGUCAACAGUUCACAUUGUUCACUCUAAACAAGAAUUUCACUUCAUCAGAAAGUUCAGUCCUCAAAAAAAAAGCUGCAUGCAGAAUCUGGAUUGUUGGGACAGCUACAUUGGUCGUGGUGAAAAGCAAGCAAGGGAAACCAUGGGCACCAAUCUCAGUGUGUCCUCCCAGGUCCAGUGUUUGGGGUGACCUCCUUCCUUUCUUCCAACAUUGUCUUAAAGAAAGAACUGAACAAAUGAAGAUUAUGCUUUCUUCAAUCGACCUGAGGCACCACUGGAGGAAAGGUGGACAGAGUCAGGAAGUUUGUGAACAAUGUAUUGGCCAAGUUUGUUCUCUGUGUUAAUGGAGCAUUGUCCAUCAUCCACACACAGUGUUUGACAAACCUGAGCUAUAUUUUAAUGAUGAGGUUCAUUUAAGCCCUAAGGGAAAUGAUAUAUAUUUUUUAACUGAUAUUAUCCAGUGUUUGAGAGACCAGAGACCAUAAACCUGAUGCUGGACUGGUGCAUGUUAUGGGAAAGAAGGUCUCCUGUAUUUUU
Molecule: long non-coding RNA, 2105 nt
Organism: Carassius gibelio (silver crucian carp)
Lineage: Eukaryota; Metazoa; Chordata; Actinopteri; Cypriniformes; Cyprinidae
Exons: 2
Source: RefSeq, a predicted model, not a curated record